AACGAACGCUGGCGGCGUGGAUAAGACAUGCAAGUCGAACGCUGAUUGCGGAAUAGCAAUAUUUGGCAGUCGGAGUGGCGAAAGGGUGCGUAACACGUGGGCAAUUUACCGCGAAGCUCGGGACAACUCCGAGAAAUCGGAGCUAAUACCGGAUGUGACUACCUGGGGGCAUCCCUGGGUGGUUAAAGUUGGGGACCGAAAGGCCUGACACUUGGCGAUAAGCCCGCGGCCUAUCAGCUAGUUGGCGGGUAACGGCCCACCAAGGCGAAGACGGGUAGCUGGUCUGAGAGGACGACCAGCCACACUGGAACUGAGACACGGUCCAGACACCUACGGGAGGCUG
RNAcentral lists this ribosomal RNA (343 nucleotides) under uncultured Verrucomicrobiota bacterium. RNAcentral's name for it is "bacterial SSU rRNA". It matches the Rfam family "Bacterial small subunit ribosomal RNA", at positions 29 to 351 of the family's 1533-position model. The record is from RNAcentral. Lineage: Bacteria; Pseudomonadati; Verrucomicrobiota.